AGAGUUUGAUCCUGGCUCAGGACGAACGCUGGCGGCGUGCUUAAUACAUGCAAGUCGAGCGACGAAACCGGAGUGGGUAACCACUCCGGCUGAAAGCGGCGAACGGGUGAGUAACACGUGGGUAACGUGCCCCGGACAUCGGGACAACCACGGGAAACCGUGGCUAAUACCGAAUAACCCCAGUAGUGCGCAUGCACAGCUGGGCAAAUGCUCCGGCGGUCUGGGAUCGGCCCGCGGUGUAUCAGCUUGUUGGUAGGGUAAUGGCCUACCAAGGCUACGAUCAGUAGCUGGUCUGAGAGGAUGAUCAGCCACAUUGGGACUGAGACACGGCCCAAACUCCUACGGGAGGCAGCAGUGGGGAAUAUUGGACAAUGGGCGCAAGCCUGAUCCAGCCAUGCCGCGUGAGUGAUGAAGGCCUUAGGGUUGUAAAGCUCUUUUAGCGGGGAAGAUAAUGACGGUACCCGCAGAAAAAGCCCCGGCUAACUUCGUGCCAGCAGCCGCGGUAAUACGAAGGGGGCUAGCGUUGCUCGGAAUCACUGGGCGUAAAGCGCACGUAGGCGGCUUCUUAAGUCAGGGGUGAAAUCCUGGAGCUCAACUCCAGAACUGCCUUUGAUACUGAGGAGCUCGAGUCCGGGAGAGGUGAGUGGAACUGCGAGUGUAGAGGUGAAAUUCGUAGAUAUUCGCAAGAACACCAGUGGCGAAGGCGGCUCACUGGCCCGGUACUGACGCUGAGGUGCGAAAGCGUGGGGAGCAAACAGGAUUAGAUACCCCCGUAGUCC
RNAcentral lists this ribosomal RNA (779 nucleotides) under uncultured Rhodoplanes sp. RNAcentral describes it as "bacterial SSU rRNA". It matches the Rfam family "Bacterial small subunit ribosomal RNA", at positions 8 to 796 of the family's 1533-position model. Lineage: Bacteria; Pseudomonadati; Pseudomonadota; Alphaproteobacteria; Hyphomicrobiales; Nitrobacteraceae. The record is from RNAcentral.